CAGGAUGAACGCUAGCGGCAGGCCUAAUACAUGCAAGUCGAACGGGAUUGCGGUGUAGCUUGCUACACUGCAUGAGAGUGGCGCACGGGUGCGUAACGCGUGAGCAACCUACCCAUAUCAGGGGGAUAGCCCGGAGAAAUCCGGAUUAACACCGCAUGGGACAGUAUUACCGCAUGGUAUAGCUGUUAAAUAUUUAUAGGAUAUGGAUGGGCUCGCGUGACAUUAGCUAGUUGGUGGGGUAACGGCCCACCAAGGCGACGAUGUCUAGGGGCUCUGAGAGGAGAAUCCCCCACACUGGUACUGAGACACGGACCAGACUCCUACGGGAGGCAGCAGUAAGGAAUAUUGGUCAAUGGGCGGAAGCCUGAACCAGCCAUGCCGCGUGCAGGACGACUGCCCUAUGGGUUGUAAACUGCUUUUGUACGGGAAUAACCCUCUCUACGAGUAGAGAGCUGAACGUACCGUAAGAAUAAGGAUCGGCUAACUCCGUGCCAGCAGCCGCGGUAAUACGGAGGAUCCGAGCGUUAUCCGGAUUUAUUGGGUUUAAAGGGUGCGUAGGCGGCACUUUAAGUCAGGAGUGAAAGACGGCAGCUCAACUGUCGCAGUGCUCUUGAUACUGAAGUGCUUGAAUGCCGUUGAAGAUGGCGGAAUGAGACAAGUAGCGGUGAAAUGCAUAGAUAUGUCUCAGAACUCCGAUUGCGAAGGCAGCUAUCUAAGCGGUGAUUGACGCUGAUGCACGAAAGCGUGGGGAUCGAACAGGAUUAGAUACCCUGGUAGUCCACGCCCUAAACGAUGAUGACUCGAUGUUGGCGAUACACAGUCAGCGUCCAAGCG
Molecule: ribosomal RNA, 834 nt
Filed under: Sphingobacterium sp.
Lineage: Bacteria; Pseudomonadati; Bacteroidota; Sphingobacteriia; Sphingobacteriales; Sphingobacteriaceae
Description: bacterial SSU rRNA
Rfam family: Bacterial small subunit ribosomal RNA
Source: RNAcentral